Molecule: non-coding RNA, 197 nt
Organism: Vicugna pacos (alpaca)
Lineage: Eukaryota; Metazoa; Chordata; Mammalia; Artiodactyla; Camelidae
Source: RefSeq, a predicted model, not a curated record
GUGCGCAGAUCGGCGUUCGCGGCUGGCGGCCGCUGAGCCCUGGAGCACUUGGAGCAUUUGGUCCUUGCCGCCUGGAUGCCAUGAGUUGCUAAAAGUGAGCCUGGCUUUAGAGCUGCCUUGGGGUGCGGCGUGGGGGGCACAGAGCCAUGUCGGACCUGCUACUCCUGGGCCUGAUUGGGGGCCUGACGCUGCUGCUG